UUUUUCCUGCAGUGUUUGCGUUGAGGCCGUUAAUUGUUAAACCAACACAUUUAACAAGGGAGUUUGAGUCCGAUUGCAGCUGCCAUGCCGUAUAUAUCGGAAGGCAAAAACAAUUGGCAGAACACCCACCUGCCAAGGCAGGUUUAGCUAAUGCGGCAAGCGGCUCUGCGGGUAAUUA
Molecule: non-coding RNA, 178 nt
Filed under: Bacillota bacterium LX-D
Lineage: Bacteria; Bacillati; Bacillota
Description: 6S RNA
Rfam family: 6S / SsrS RNA
About the family: E. coli 6S RNA was the first non coding RNA to be sequenced, but its function was unknown until recently.
Source: RNAcentral